RNAcentral lists this small nuclear RNA (107 nucleotides) under Microtus ochrogaster (prairie vole). Lineage: Eukaryota; Metazoa; Chordata; Mammalia; Rodentia; Cricetidae. The record is from RNAcentral.
UUGCUCACUUCGGCAGCACAUAUACUAAAAUUGGAACGAUACAUAGAAGAUUAGCAUGGCCCCUGCGCAAGGAUAACAUGCAAAUUCAUGAAGCAUUCCAUAUUAAA